GACGAACGCUGGCGGCGUGCUUAAUACAUGCAAGUCAACUUGACUUUAGAUAGCAAUAUCGAAAAGUAGGGUGGCGCACGGGUGCGUAACGCGUAGGUAAUCUGCCUGAGGUCUGACAUAACCCGUCGAAAGGCGGGCUAACAUCAGAUGAUAUAUAAUCACGACAUCGUGGAAAUAUCAAAUCUUCGAGCCUUGGGAUGAGCCUGCGUCUGAUUAGGUAGUUGGCGGAGUAAUAGCCCACCAAGCCUACGAUCAGUAGCUGGUCUGAGAGGAUGAUCAGCCACACUGGAACUGAGACACGGUCCAGACUCCUACGGGAGGCAGCAGUAAGGAAUAUUGCUCAAUGGGGGAAACCCUGAAGUCAGCAACGCCGCGUGAAGGAUGAA
Molecule: ribosomal RNA, 386 nt
Filed under: uncultured bacterium
Lineage: Bacteria
Description: bacterial SSU rRNA
Rfam family: Bacterial small subunit ribosomal RNA
Source: RNAcentral